This is a small nucleolar RNA of Notamacropus eugenii (tammar wallaby), 77 nucleotides long. The record is from Ensembl. Lineage: Eukaryota; Metazoa; Chordata; Mammalia; Diprotodontia; Macropodidae.
UGGCCGAGGAUGAAAACCACAGUCUGAUUGGGCAUAGUUCACAUGCUCUGAUGGGUUAAAGGAUUUACCUGAGGCCA